RNAcentral lists this unclassified non-coding RNA (403 nucleotides) under soil metagenome. RNAcentral's name for it is "partial contains 5.8S ribosomal RNA, internal transcribed spacer 2, and large subunit ribosomal RNA". The stretch from base 1 to 122 matches the Rfam family "5.8S ribosomal RNA", at positions 35 to 154 of the family's 154-position model. The record is from RNAcentral.
GAUGAAGAACGUAGCAAAAUGCGAUACUUGGUGUGAAUUGCAGAAUCCCGUGAACCAUCGAGUUUUUGAACGCAAGUUGCGCCCGAAGCCUUUUGGCCGAGGGCACGUCUGCCUGGGCGUCACGCAUCGCGUCGCCCCCCACAAUUCUCCGUAAAGGGAACAUGUGUUUUGGGGGCGGAUAUUGGUCUCCCGUGCUCAUGGCGUGGUUGGCCGAAAUAGGAGUCCUUUCGAUGGACGCACGAACUAGUGGUGGUCGUAAAAACCCUCGUCUUUUGUUUCGUGCUGUUGCUCGCAAGGUAAACUCUUUAAAAACCCCAAUGUGUCGUCUCUUGACGACGCUUCGACCGCGACCCCAGGUCAGGCGGGACUACCCGCUGAGUUUAAGCAUAUCAAUAGCGGAGGA